Molecule: long non-coding RNA, 205 nt
Organism: Chenopodium quinoa (quinoa)
Lineage: Eukaryota; Viridiplantae; Streptophyta; Magnoliopsida; Caryophyllales; Amaranthaceae
Exons: 2
Source: RefSeq, a predicted model, not a curated record
UUUUGGUUUAAGUUUCAAAUUGUUUAUUUACUUCAGGGGAAAAUCAGCCUUUGAAAUGGGCUAUGAGGUUGAGAGUGGCAUUGUGUUUAGCACAAGCCUUGGAAUAUUGUAGCAGUAAAGGAAGAUCAUUGUACCACGACCUUAAUGCUUAUAGAGUUCUAUUUGACCAGGAUGGUAAUCCCAGGCUCUCUUGCUUUGGCCUCAU